Molecule: ribosomal RNA, 463 nt
Filed under: uncultured bacterium
Lineage: Bacteria
Description: bacterial SSU rRNA
Rfam family: Bacterial small subunit ribosomal RNA
Source: RNAcentral
GAUGAACGCUGGCGGCGUGCUUAACACAUGCAAGUCGAACGAAGCGCUUGGAUGGAAUUCUUCGGAAGGAAGCUCAAGUGACUGAGUGGCGGACGGGUGAGUAACGCGUGGGUAACCUGCCUCAUACAGGGGGAUAACAGUUAGAAAUGACUGCUAAUACCGCAUAAGCACACGUGAUCGCAUGAUCGAGUGUGAAAAACUCCGGUGGUAUGAGAUGGACCCGCGUCUGAUUAGCUAGUUGGUGGGGUAACGGCCCACCAAGGCGACGAUCAGUAGCCGGCCUGAGAGGGUGAACGGCCACAUUGGGACUGAGACACGGCCCAAACUCCUACGGGAGGCAGCAGUGGGGAAUAUUGCACAAUGGGGGAAACCCUGAUGCAGCGACGCCGCGUGAAGGAUGAAGUAUUUCGGUAUGUAAACUUCUAUCAGCAGGGAAGAAAAUGACGGUACCUGACUAAGAAGC